This is a non-coding RNA of Schistosoma margrebowiei, 45 nucleotides long. NCBI's taxonomy places the organism in Eukaryota, Metazoa, Platyhelminthes, Trematoda, Strigeidida, Schistosomatidae. The record is from Rfam.
GAAACGGACUUUUUAAAGUCCAUCUUCAGUUUACAUAUUUAUCAU